This 1343-nucleotide ribosomal RNA is filed under the name uncultured bacterium. RNAcentral's name for it is "16S ribosomal RNA". It matches the Rfam family "Bacterial small subunit ribosomal RNA", at positions 28 to 1378 of the family's 1533-position model. The record is from RNAcentral.
GACGAACGCUGGCGGCGUGCUUAACACAUGCAAGUCGAACGGAAAGGCCCUGCUUUUGUGGGGUGCUCGAGUGGCGAACGGGUGAGUAACACGUGAGUAACCUGCCCUUGACUUUGGGAUAACUUCAGGAAACUGGGGCUAAUACCGGAUAGGAGCUCCUGCUGCAUGGUGGGGGUUGGAAAGUUUCGGCGGUUGGGGAUGGACUCGCGGCUUAUCAGCUUGUUGGUGGGGUAGUGGCUUACCAAGGCUUUGACGGGUAGCCGGCCUGAGAGGGUGACCGGCCACAUUGGGACUGAGAUACGGCCCAGACUCCUACGGGAGGCAGCAGUGGGGAAUAUUGCACAAUGGGCGGAAGCCUGAUGCAGCAACGCCGCGUGCGGGAUGACGGCCUUCGGGUUGUAAACCGCUUUCGCCUGUGACGAAGCGUGAGUGACGGUAAUGGGUAAAGAAGCACCGGCUAACUACGUGCCAGCAGCCGCGGUGAUACGUAGGGUGCGAGCGUUGUCCGGAUUUAUUGGGCGUAAAGGGCUCGUAGGUGGUUGAUCGCGUCGGAAGUGUAAUCUUGGGGCUUAACCCUGAGCGUGCUUUCGAUACGGGUUGACUUGAGGAAGGUAGGGGAGAAUGGAAUUCCUGGUGGAGCGGUGGAAUGCGCAGAUAUCAGGAGGAACACCAGUGGCGAAGGCGGUUCUCUGGGCCUUUCCUGACGCUGAGGAGCGAAAGCGUGGGGAGCGAACAGGCUUAGAUACCCUGGUAGUCCACGCUGUAAACGGUGGGUACUAGGUGUGGGGUCCAUUCCACGGGUUCCGUGCCGUAGCUAACGCUUUGAGUACCCCGCCUGGGGAGUACGGCCGCAAGGCUAAAACUCAAAGGAAUUGACGGGGCCCCGCACAAGCGGCGGAGCAUGCGGAUUAAUUCGAUGCAACGCGUAGAACCUUACCUGGGUUUGACAUGGAUCGGGAGUGCUCAGAGAUGGGUGUGCCUCUUUUGGGGUCGGUUCACAGGUGGUGCAUGGCUGUCGUCAGCUCGUGUCGUGAGAUGUUGGGUUAAGUCCCGCAACGAGCGCAACCCUUGUUCACUGUUGCCAGCACGUUAUGGUGGGGACUCAGUGGAGACCGCCGGGGUCAACUCGGAGGAAGGUGGGGAUGACGUCAAGUCAUCAUGCCCCUUAUGUCCAGGGCUUCACGCAUGCUACAAUGGCUGGUACAGAGAGUGGCGAGCCUGUGAGGGUGAGCGAAUCUCGGAAAGCCGGUCUCAGUUCGGAUUGGGGUCUGCAACUCGACCUCAUGAAGUCGGAGUCGCUAGUAAUCGCAGAUCAGCAACGCUGCGGUGAAUACGUUCCCGGG